AAACAGCUGCUGGCGGCUGAUCACGCCGUGUCCAGGCGCUGGCCCAGGGUGCAGGCACCCCUGGCCUAGAAUUGCUCCCAGUGGGCACCAAACAACCCUGUUUUCUUGUUCUGGUGUGAGUGCUGGGCAGAGUUCAUCAGCCCUUCCUCCCUGUAAUUCUCUGUGUGUUGGGUGAUGAGAGAGACUGGAACUCUGCUCAGGCCACUGUCUCAUGUCACGGCAGAGGCAAGUGGGUGCGUGCAGUAUCCAGAGACAGCCUGAGUGAGUUGUCUGGUGGCUGAGAAGAGGGAGAGGCCAUGUCUGAUGCAGCGAGCAGGAAGCCUUCCUGGAGCAGGUGCCAUUGGGAUGGCCGUCAAGGAAGGAGACAGAGAAGAAGGACCUGAAUCCACAAAGGCCUAGAUAUGGAGAGAGCAAAUACAGUGUGAACAGGCUCAAGAGGAAAUGGAGUUCCCCAAGAUGUGUAGCUGGUGUGAGCAGAGCAAGAACAGGAGUUCUGUCUGUCUGCCCCGCUGCUCUGCCUCAGGGCCUUCCUUCCCGCACACCUGCCCCUUAAUCCAGCCUUGAGCUCUUCUGGGGUGUUGUGCUCACCAUGGGGUCUCAGGGGACCAGCGGCAGCACACACUGGGUGCCCAGGAAAUGUCUGUUCAUGGACUGGAUGGAUGGCCUGGGGAGGACAUGCAGGCUGGGCCAGUGCCCCCAUCCUCAGCCUCAUGGGCCAUGUGUGCUUGUUGCAGGCCAAGUUCCUUCCCAGACCGACCCUUUCACUUCGCCCUCAUACCACCUGGUAUUUUCUGGAGCCUGGCAGCAGCACAAGCUGCUUGGUGCUUGUGGUAACUGCCAUCUUCCCCACCUGCCCCUCAGGUCCCCAGCCAUUCCCCUACCAUUCCCUGCCUCCUUUCUGCCAGGCUUCUUUCCUGCCCACCUGCACUGGGUCCCCUCUUACUGCUGCAGCCUCUCUGAGCCCCAAAGCAACCAGGGCUCUCCCAAGAAAUCAUAACAACGCCAGUAACGUCCUCAGUACAUUUUACUGUGCGCUAGCUAAGUACUCCCUGAGUACUCUAAGACCUGUGCUAAAUCCUCUGCAUCCACCAUUCCUCUCUCAGCUCACAAUAGGCCUGGGAAGCAGUUGGUUCCUCAGCCUCCUGACACGAGGCACAUGGCUCAGUGGGAGGACUUAAUUCCGUGGGUGUCAGGCUUGUAUGCACAUUGGAAUCACCUGAAGGGAGUCAAAAACUCCCUGUGCCUGUGUCCUGCUACACGGGCUUGUGGUUUAGCUGCUCUGGGUGUGGCUUGGGCUUGGGAAUUUUUAAAAGAUUCCCAGAAAAUUCUACCAUGUGCAUGUGUUUGGGAACCACCAGUUUUCUAGAGAAAUUUUAAUUUAGGACCUGAAAAACAACCUCAACCAAACAUCUUUAUUGAGAUUUAAUUGACAGACAGGAAAUUGCACAUACUCAAAAUAUAUAAUUUGAAAAGUUUUUAAAAACCAUCUGAGCCAUUUUAAGUAUACAGUUCCAUAGAGUUACACUGUUAUGCAACCAGUCUCCAGAGCGUUCUCAUCUUGCAAAACAGAGACUAAAUCCAUUAACAGCUCCCAUCCCUUCUCCUCUCAGCCCGACACUCACCAUCCUACUUCCUGUCUUUGACUUUGGUCAUUCUGGGUACUUCAUGUAAGUGAAGUAAGCACCGUAUAUGUCUUUGUGCCGCUUAGCCUGAUGCCCUCGAUCUUCAUCCUUGUAGCAUUCGACAUGAUUAUCUUCCCUUUUAAGGAUGAAUAAUAAAUUAUCCAUUCAUUUGUCCAUGAGCAUCUAAAACAAGGCCUCUAUGGGUAUAGGGGUGUUUGUACCACUUCCAGGCUUUGCUUUCCAUUCUUUUGGGGAUACACUCAGAAGUGGGACUGGUGGAUCACACGGUGGUUCUAUUUUUGAUUUUUUUUUGAGGAACAACUGCACUGUUUUUCUACAGUAGCUGCACCUUGUGCAGUCCCACUCUGGCACUCAGGGUUCCAGAUUCUUCACAUCCUCCCCAGUACUUGUUCUUUUUUGGGUUUUGGUAGCCAUGCUGAUGGACACGGAGAGCCACCUCAUUAUGGCUUUGACUUGCACUUCUCUAAUGAUUAGUGAUGUUCAGCAUCUUUUUGUAUACUUGCUGGCCUGUAAAUCAACUCUGGAGAUGAAUUCUCUACCUACCUUCCCAGAGAAGCCAGGGCCUCCCCUCUGCAUCCUCCCCUGAAACCCAGCAUGCCCCAGAGGGAGCACUGAAGCACCCCCUACCCCAGCCCCUAGGAGGCAGCAGCCUUUCACCCCUUGGGGGUCUUUUCUUCAAAUUAAGCCCAUUGUAUCCAAGGACAGACAUUAUUUUGCCACAAAGCUCCCCACUCCAGCUAAAGUGAGGCUGGAGCACUGUCCCCAUUCCUACUCCAGACAGCUAGAAAGGAUCACACACAGGUCCUCAUUAGCAAAGCACUUGGCUUUGUUCCUGCCCCAAGUGUGUACAGACUGAGUGCUUCCCUGUAGCUUCAGCAGACCCCUCUUCUUUGCAAUUAAUCUGAACAGACUAAACCCCUCCUGGGCAGAGGUGGGUGAUACACUGCCCACCGACACACAGAGCAGCCUGUUUGAGCUGAAUCUCCAGGGCUGCCAUCUCCCCACGGGUGCAGCUGCUGUCCCCAUCCUGUCCUUGGCACAGUCUGCUGUGUCUGAGCCCCAGUGCCUUUACUCUUGGCCCUCCUUUGGUGGAAAGGCUGAGCCCUGCCCUUGGAGGCUCUGUCUUUGACUCUGCUGCUGUCCUCUGUGUGGAGCUACCCAAAGUAUUUCAAGAGCUCAGUGCUUAUGGCUGCUCCUCAAGGGAUGGGGUGAGUCCUUGAGGUGAGUGUCCUUACACUCUGGGCAGGAAUCUGCCUUUUUCUCCCAGCUGUGGCCCCUCUAACCUUCUUAGUUCUUUGUAAUAUGUUCAUUUGAAGAGACUAAUUUUGUUGAACUGUGUAUUUAAAUUAUUGCAUUAAAGUUUCUUUUACCCACA
This is a long non-coding RNA of Heterocephalus glaber (naked mole-rat), 3018 nucleotides long. RefSeq lists it as uncharacterized. The record is from RefSeq and is a predicted model, not a curated record. NCBI's taxonomy places the organism in Eukaryota, Metazoa, Chordata, Mammalia, Rodentia, Bathyergidae.